This 495-nucleotide ribosomal RNA is filed under the name uncultured bacterium. Its description in RNAcentral is "partial 16S ribosomal RNA". It matches the Rfam family "Bacterial small subunit ribosomal RNA", at positions 28 to 507 of the family's 1533-position model. The record is from RNAcentral.
GACGAACGCUGGCGGCGUGCCUAAUACAUGCAAGUAGAACGCUGAAGGAGGAGCUUGCUUCUCUGGAUGAGUUGCGAACGGGUGAGUAACGCGUAGGUAACCUGCCUGGUAGCGGGGGAUAACUAUUGGAAACGAUAGCUAAUACCGCAUAAUAGUAGAUGUCGCAUGACAUUUGCUUAAAAGGUGCAAUUGCAUCACUACCAGAUGGACCUGCGUUGUAUUAGCUAGUUGGUGAGGUAACGGCUCACCAAGGCAACGAUACAUAGCCGACCUGAGAGGGUGAUCGGCCACACUGGGACUGAGACACGGCCCAGACUCCUACGGGAGGCAGCAGGAGGGAAUCUUCGGCAAUGGACGGAAGUCUGACCGAGCAACGCCGCGGGAGUGAAGAAGGGUUUCGGAUCGUAAAGCUCUGUUGUAAGAGAAGAACGAGUGUGAGAGUGGAAAGUUCACACUGUGACGGUAUCUGACCAGAAAGGGACGGCUAACUACGUG